UAGAGAAUCUUCGGCAAUGGACGAAAGUCUGACCGAGCGACGCCGCGUGCGGGAUGACGGCCUUCGGGUUGUAAACCUCUUUCAGCAGGGAAGAAGCGCAAGUGACGGUACCUGCAGAAGAAGCACCGGCUAACUACGUG
Molecule: ribosomal RNA, 140 nt
Filed under: uncultured Actinomycetales bacterium
Lineage: Bacteria; Bacillati; Actinomycetota; Actinomycetes; Actinomycetales
Description: partial 16S rRNA
Rfam family: Bacterial small subunit ribosomal RNA
Source: RNAcentral